UGAAGUCUGUCUUUACCCCCUCAUCUUCUUACCAUCUCUUUCCCUAUUACACUACAUACAAUAAACAAAUACAGACUUAAAAUCUGUCUCGCAUCCCUCUCGAUUAUACCUACAAGAAACACAUACACACACACAAAAUCCAUGCUCUCAUUCUCUUCAAACCCUAACCAACCACCAACCAGCCACACCCCAUUUCAUAUCCCUCCCGUUAAUUAAAUCGGUGAGCCACAGGGGAGGAGCCAGCGGCGGCCGGCGGUUCAUUUCCGUCGGGUGAGACCCCCCUCUCUUCUUCGUGUAUCAGACAACCCCCCCUAUCUCUUGCUUUCGGUUCGGUCGCCGGAGAAACCACGACGGACCGCCAGUCAUAUCGUUUAUCCGACGGUUCCGUCGAUAAACCUCACCCACAACCAACGACAGCGCCGUCGUGAACGGCGUCGGAGGUGGAGGGUUCCGCCGAUGAAAGAUGGAGACAAUGACAAAGAUGAUCGACGACGGUACGACGACGGAGGUGGUGCUCUCCGACGAACGGCACAAGUCAGCAGUGGUUCAGCAAAUUCAAGUUCAGGCUCAGGUUUGGUUUCGGCUUUGUUUUGGUUCGGUCAACAAAAGUCAACAGUGUUCCGGUGCGGUGUUCGGAUCUCGGGUUACGGGCCAGAUUAGGAAGCGGUGCGUUCGACUCGAUCCAACCGAGUUAACUCAGUUGACUCGGUCAACUCAGCGAGUCGACUCGGUCAACUCAACAGGUCAACUCAGUUGACCUGGUCAACUCAGUCAACACGUUCGGCGUCACGGCACGAAGACUCGGUUAAGAAUUUAGGACACGACACAUUAAUUUCGUUAACUAUUCCUUAUUUUAAUAUUAUGUGAUAUCGAGCUCGAACCGACAUGAUUAUAAUUUACGUUUUUAUGAAAUAUUGGCGAAUUUGAUAU
Long non-coding RNA from Helianthus annuus (common sunflower), 930 nucleotides. RefSeq lists it as uncharacterized. Lineage: Eukaryota; Viridiplantae; Streptophyta; Magnoliopsida; Asterales; Asteraceae. The record is from RefSeq and is a predicted model, not a curated record. The transcript is spliced from 2 exons.